GACGAACGCUGGCGGCGUGCCUAAUACAUGCAAGUCGAACGCAAAACUUUCACCGAAUGCUUGCAUUCACGAAAGGUUUGAGCGGCGAACGGGUGAGUAACACGUGGGUAACCUGCUCAGAAGAGGGGGAUAACACUUGGAAACAGGUGCUAAUACCGCAUAAUAACAAAAACCGCAUGGUUUUUGUUUGAAAGAUGGUUUUGCUAUCACUUCUGGAUGGACCCGCGGCGUAUUAGCUAGUUGGUAAAGUAAAGGCUUACCAAGGCAAUGAUACGUAGGCGAACUGAGAGGUUGAUCGGCCACAUUGGGACUAGACACGGCCCAAACUCCUACGGGAGGCAGCAGUAGGGAAUCUUCCACAAUGGACGAAAGUCUGAUGGAGCAACGCCGCGUGAGUGAAGAAGGUUUUCGGAUCGUAAAACUCUGUUGUUAGAGAAGAACGUGUGUGAGAGUAACUGCUCAUGCAGUGACGGUAUCUAACCAGAAAGCCACGGCUAACUACGUGCCAGCAGCCGCAGUAA
Molecule: ribosomal RNA, 521 nt
Filed under: uncultured bacterium
Lineage: Bacteria
Description: partial 16S ribosomal RNA
Rfam family: Bacterial small subunit ribosomal RNA
Source: RNAcentral